This 332-nucleotide ribosomal RNA is filed under the name uncultured bacterium. Its description in RNAcentral is "partial 16S ribosomal RNA". It matches the Rfam family "Bacterial small subunit ribosomal RNA", at positions 338 to 668 of the family's 1533-position model. The record is from RNAcentral.
CCUACGGGGGGCAGCAGUGAGGAAUAUUGGUCAAUGGGCGGGAGCCUGAACCAGCCACGUCGCGUGAAGGAAGAAGGUACUUAGUAUUGUAAACUUCUUUUGUCGGGGAACAAAGGCGGAGACGCGUCCCCGGAUGAGUGUACCCGAAGAAAAAGCAUCGGCUAACUCUGUGCCAGCAGCCGCGGUAAUACGGAGGAUGCGAGCGUUAUCCGGAUUUAUUGGGUUUAAAGGGUGCGCAGGCGGGAGAUCAAGUCAGCGGUAAAAUGUCGGGGCUCAACCCCGGCCGGCCGUGGAAACUGGUUUUCUAGAGUGGGAGAGAGGUAAGUGGAAUU